ACCUUUGCCCUCUGGACUCGCGGAUCAUCUGUGGACUUCCAGAAAAUAAUGUUUUUAGUCAGGAUCAAUCCUGACUCAUCCAAGUGCACUGCCAAGGAGCAGAUCAGCAAGAUGACUGGGAGGGUGGUGAAGAGGAAAACUACAUACAUGAACCCCAGUGUCCUCUCAUUUAUUAGGGAUUUCACAGAGUUCUACUUGCUUGACUAGAUGAAGGGUUCCAACUGAUUCUGGUCAGGGCAUGCAAGGUU
Long non-coding RNA from Alosa sapidissima (American shad), 248 nucleotides. RefSeq lists it as uncharacterized. The transcript has 3 exons. Lineage: Eukaryota; Metazoa; Chordata; Actinopteri; Clupeiformes; Clupeidae. The record is from RefSeq and is a predicted model, not a curated record.